RNAcentral lists this ribosomal RNA (300 nucleotides) under uncultured bacterium. RNAcentral's name for it is "bacterial SSU rRNA". It matches the Rfam family "Bacterial small subunit ribosomal RNA", at positions 154 to 453 of the family's 1533-position model. The record is from RNAcentral.
AAACGGCUGCUAAUACCGUAUACGUUUUAAGGACCGCAUGGUCCUUAAAACAAAACUCCGGUGGUACGGGAUGGGCCCGCGUCUGAUUAGCUCGUUGGCGGGGUAACGGCCCACCAAGGCGACGAUCAGUAGCCGGCCUGAGAGGGCGGCCGGCCACAUUGGGACUGAGACACGGCCCAGACUCCUGCGGGAGGCAGCAGUGGAGAAUAAAAACACAAUGGGGGAAACCCUGAUGCAGCGACGCCGCGUGAGCGAGGAAGUACCUCGGUACCUAAAGCUCUGUCAGCAGGGAAGAAAAUG